CUAGCGACUUCAGAGUUUGAUCCUGGCUCAGGAUGAACGCUGGCGGCGUGCUUAACACAUGCAAGUCGAACGAAGCGCUUUGAAGUUUUCGGACAGAUGAGUGACUUAGUGGCGGACGGGUGAGUAACGCGUGGGUAACCUGCCUCGUACAGGGGGAUAACAGUUAGAAAUGACUGCUAAUACCGCAUAUGCACACAGCACCGCAUGGUGCAGGGUGGAAAGAUUUAUCGGUACGAGAUGGACCCGCGUUGGAUUAGCUAGUUGGUGAGGUAACGGCCCACCAAGGCGACGAUCCAUAGCCGGCCUGAGAGGGUGAACGGCCACAUUGGGACUGAGACACGGCCCAA
RNAcentral lists this ribosomal RNA (347 nucleotides) under uncultured bacterium. Its description in RNAcentral is "bacterial SSU rRNA". It matches the Rfam family "Bacterial small subunit ribosomal RNA", at positions 1 to 334 of the family's 1533-position model. The record is from RNAcentral.